AUUUUUUUCUUGUAUUAUAACUUUGAAUUAUUUAUUAAGUUUACAAAAUACAAGGUAAUGCUUUGAAAUUAUCUUUCACACAAUCUCAAUUAAAUAAGUGUAAGCUAUUAAUAAACAUGCUUUAUAGAAUACAAAGAGUCUAAAAGUUCGACUACGAACAAAUGACAAACACUUUAUGACCAGCAUAGAGUGUCCAUGACCAGCAUGGUUCUGACAAAGUUAUUCUUCUUCCUAGUAAACACAGAUAACCAAAUAAACUUUUCACAUUUAUAAGACUUAAGGGGAAAAAAAAAAGAUUUGCUUUAGUAGAUAUGGCAGGAGUAAAAGUUUACUCCACAUAAACAUUGGCAUACACACAAAACUUAACAUUAACCACAUUAACAAAAUGUGUAAAUAUAUGUCCUUUUUCAACAUUUCAAUUGUUCUCUUGUUUAUCUAAUCUACAUAUACAAAUCUAUACAAAGAAAUGUACAAUAAAAAUUUUCGAUAUUAAACACUAUUGUAUUGUAAUACACACAUUCAAGUUGUAUUUUAUAUCUAAAUUAAAAGUCAAGAUUAAUGACACAAAUCAUACAAAUUUGAAACAAGUCAUUCAAGUUGUGAUAUCAGAGUCCUUUCAAAAAAUGUUCCUACAGUUUACUGACAGAAAUAUACUACCUGCAUUACUACCUACUACAACCCAUGCACCUUCAAUUAGUGAGUCAAUGGACAUAAAGUAACAAAAUGUUUGACAUUGAAUCAUCACAAACAAGCUGAUUACAUAUUUCUGUUGUAUUAACCAUGUAACAAAAAAAUAAGAGACAACUAAGACAAUUAUUUUACCCAAAUAAUUAUUUUCAAACUAACAUAAACCAGUUUUACAUUUUGUGUGAACUUUUAAAUGGGUCUGUUAGGAAUAUAUUAGGCACUAUGAAUGGGUCAAAUUUAAAAGACAUGCAUAGACAAAAGUUUGUAAAUGAGAGAGUUGACUUAUUAUGGAACAUCAAAUGUAUGAGUUAAAUAUAAUGAGGUGUGACUGUAUUAAUAAAUAUUAAGAAUAAAAACAUUAAAAGAAAACAUGUUAGGAAUCUUUUCAAAAGCAAUGUUUGAAUAUUCAAUCUGUAAAGCCAGCAUUUUAUUUAGAUUAAAGAUCUUAUCAUCAAACUAAAGUCUCAAGUUUACAUGUCAGUAUAGCAUAAUUUUUUAUUUCAGUAGAAUUAUCUGCUAGCAGUGAUUGUCUUGUUACCACUCAGACCUACACAUAUAUCUUUACAUGACACUAAAUGAAAGAUAUUGAGCCACUUGUUAAAAAAAAAUUGAAAUGAUUAAAAAAUAAAAGAAAGGAAAUAAGUAAAUUAUUUUUACAAAUAUAUGAAAUUAUAAUAAAGUUCAAUAACAGUGAAUGAAAGAAAAAUUGUGUUCACAUUAAAGAAACAGUGUUACCAUGAAAAAAAAAAAAGAACAUUGUGAAAUUAAAGUCAAGCCAAAUGUGCUUUACUGACAG
Molecule: non-coding RNA, 1483 nt
Organism: Biomphalaria pfeifferi
Lineage: Eukaryota; Metazoa; Mollusca; Gastropoda; Planorbidae
Source: the annotation of a GenBank genome assembly